RNAcentral lists this transfer RNA (72 nucleotides) under Candidatus Woesebacteria bacterium GWA1_41_8. RNAcentral describes it as "tRNA-Arg". It matches the Rfam family "tRNA". From Rfam's summary of the family: Transfer RNA (tRNA) molecules are approximately 80 nucleotides in length. The record is from RNAcentral. Lineage: Bacteria; Candidatus Woeseibacteriota.
ACCCCCGUAGCUUAAUGGACAAAGCAUCCUCUUCCGGAGCGGAAAAUGCAGGUUCGAUUCCUGUCGGGGGUA